This is a long non-coding RNA of Tribolium castaneum (red flour beetle), 1346 nucleotides long. RefSeq lists it as uncharacterized. Lineage: Eukaryota; Metazoa; Arthropoda; Insecta; Coleoptera; Tenebrionidae. The transcript has 2 exons. The record is from RefSeq and is a predicted model, not a curated record.
AAAAUGACAUGUAAAAAAGAAAAUUAUUCGCUUUAUGAUCUUCGCUUUAUGAUCUAAUACGAGAUUUUGCAAAUUCAAAAUUUGAUACUAGUGAUUAUGAUGUAAAUAAUAUUUGGAAUAUUCCUCUUGUAAAUAAAAAAAUUCCAGGAUUGAUGAAAGAUGAAUUGAAUGGUAAAAUUCUUACAGAGUUUAUUACUCUAAGACCAAAAGUUUAUGAUUAUAAAGUGAAUGGAGAAGUAAAAGAGCCUAUAAAUAAGGGAAUUAAAAAAAGUGCAGUCAUUAUAGAAAAUGACGAACCAAAAAAUAAACAACAAAAAUUAUGCAAUAGUGUUGAUUUUGUAGAUAAUGUUGAUAAUGAUAGUUAUAGGAUUACUAAUACUAGAAAAAUAAAAUUUAACGAUAUAUAUAAAUGUUUAUUUAAUAAUACAGUACGUUAUGUUAAUUUUAAUAGUAUAAGAUCAAUUAAUCUGUAAAUAUUAAUAAGUUAGGAUUAAAUGCAUUAGAUAAUAAGAGAUAUAUUUUAGAUGAUCUAAUUAGUAUUCACGCUUGGGGGCAUUAUUCAAUUCCCUAAUCCCUUCUAAGUUUUUGUAAAAUUUAAUAUUUUUUUUUCAAAUAUUUUUUCCAAAUAUUAAUAAAAUAUUUGUUUGUUCUAUUUCCUGUUUUAUUUUUUAUCGAACCUAGUACGUAUUUACUUAGAUAAACAUUAGCGUUGUAAACAAUUCCCCACUCGAACCCUCUAUCUAUACCAAACAGUGUAAGAGUCAACUUGCUGUUUUUCAACUGUAUCAGUGUCUUAUUGAGUUAAAAGGUACUAUUUUUAAAAACCAAAAAAAAAAUGGAAAGAGUACGUAAACCUUCAAUAUACAAUACUUCCGAUGAAAUUGUCGUAUGUCCAUACGAACCCAAACAUAAAGCUAUGGUUUCGGCUUGAGCGGCACAUAUGGAAGUGAGAUCAAGCCGAAAAAAGAAAAAAGGAAGACCAAGCAAAGCAGAGCGUAGAUCACCCCUCUCAACUUUCGGUUUGACAAAAAAAAAUUACUCCUUAUUCCUGUUCUCCUACUAAUACAAUUUAGCAUAGUAGGAGGUAGUUAGAUAAACACUAGAGCGAUUUUUUCUGUUCUCCUAAUAAUCCAUUUAAAAUUGCUUAACUCAGUACAGCAUGUAUUGUAUACUUCAGUGUUCUUCAACCUUUGCCAUCCGGCGGAACCCUUUGUCGAGAUAUUUUUUUUUAUGGAACCCUUCAUUUAGUAAUACACCCAGAUGAGAUUUUAGGGACAGCUGCGUUGACUUGUUACGAACAAGGUGAGCCCGUGCUUUGGUAAUAAAAACUCUAAAUAAGAUUUAAA